This is a non-coding RNA of Bartonella clarridgeiae, 73 nucleotides long. Lineage: Bacteria; Pseudomonadati; Pseudomonadota; Alphaproteobacteria; Hyphomicrobiales; Bartonellaceae. The record is from Rfam.
AGGGGUAUAGCUCAGUUGGUAGAGCGGCGGUCUCCAAAACCGCAGGUCGCGGGUUCAAGUCCUGCUGCCCCUG